UAGGGAAUCUUCCGCAAUGGACGCAAGUCUGACGGAGCAACGCCGCGUGAGUGAAGAAGGAUUUCGGUUCGUAAAACUCUGUUGUUAGAGAAGAACAGCGCAUAGAGUAACUGUUAUGCGUGUGACGGUAUCUAACCAGAAAGCCACGGCUAACUACGUGCCAGCAACCGCGGUAAUACGUAGGUCCCGAGCGUUGUCCGGAUUUAUUGGGCGUAAAGCGAGCGCAGGCGGUUAGAAAAGUCUGAAGUGAAAGGCAGUGGCUCAACCAUUGUAGGCUUUAGAAACUGUUUAACUUGAGUGCAGAAGGGGAGAGUGGAAUUCCAUGUGUAGCGGUGAAAUGCGUAGAUAUAUGGAGGAACACCGGUAGCGAAUGCGGCUCUCUGGUCUGUAACUGACGCUGAGGCUCGAAAGCGUGGGAGCGAACAGG
This 427-nucleotide ribosomal RNA is filed under the name Bacteroidota bacterium. Its description in RNAcentral is "Bacteroidetes bacterium partial 16S ribosomal RNA". It matches the Rfam family "Bacterial small subunit ribosomal RNA", at positions 355 to 776 of the family's 1533-position model. The record is from RNAcentral. Lineage: Bacteria; Pseudomonadati; Bacteroidota.